CCCGGGGCGGCGUGGCCUGCCGGGGGAGGGCGGCCGGGCCUGCCCGGCGCGGGGGUGCGGCGCUGUGAGGUGAUGCCCCCACAGGGCGGCUUCCCGCCUGCCGUUGGUGGCCACCGUUCCCCGUUGCGCAGCCGCCCUGGGCAGGCAGCGGGCCAGCGAGACGCGGGGUUCAUGCCUUUUUUUUUUUUUCCUGCUGAGUGAGAAGCCAAGAGAAGGCCCGAAGGGUUUGGGGAGGAGAUUUCCUGCCUGUGUUUGCGUGUGAAUAAUUCAGGUUUUGUCUACUCCGGAAGGCUCUUUGUACAGCUGGAGAGCUGGUGCUUUGCAGCAUCAGAGCCACGACGCAAGGGCCCUGGGACAGAGAUUCUGCUUAGUCCUUUCAUGCUGUGGAGCAGAAGGGAGACCGGCCCCACCGCCAGCGCCCUGUCAAGGGGCUGCUAACAAAUACUGCUGUGCUAGUGGUAAUGAAAAAAUGCAGUUGUGCCAGGAAAAAGAUCGUUGUAAUGGAAUAGCUGAAACAAUGCCAGCAAGGACGUACAGCUUUACCUGUCCCAGAGGAGUUACAUAG
This 565-nucleotide long non-coding RNA is filed under the name Apteryx owenii (little spotted kiwi). Its description in RNAcentral is "lncRNA (ENSAOWG00000000650.1)". Lineage: Eukaryota; Metazoa; Chordata; Aves; Apterygiformes; Apterygidae. The record is from RNAcentral.